RNAcentral lists this transfer RNA (65 nucleotides) under Dipodomys ordii (Ord's kangaroo rat). It matches the Rfam family "tRNA". Rfam says of the family: Transfer RNA (tRNA) molecules are approximately 80 nucleotides in length. The record is from Rfam by way of RNAcentral. Lineage: Eukaryota; Metazoa; Chordata; Mammalia; Rodentia; Heteromyidae.
GGUGGCUCAGUGGUAGAGUGCUUGCCUUGCAUGCAUGAGACGCUGGGUUCAAUUCCUCAGCACCA